RNAcentral lists this ribosomal RNA (253 nucleotides) under uncultured bacterium. RNAcentral's name for it is "partial 16S ribosomal RNA". It matches the Rfam family "Bacterial small subunit ribosomal RNA", at positions 524 to 776 of the family's 1533-position model. The record is from RNAcentral.
UACGGGGGGGGCAAGCGUUGUUCGGAAUUACUGGGGGUAAAGGGCGCGUAGGCGGUCUACUAAGUUGGAUGUGAAAACUCUGGGCUUAACCCAGAGCCUGCAUUCAAAACUGAUAGGCUGGAGUUCUGGAGGGGAUAGCGGAAUUCCUGGUGUAGCGGUGAAAUGCGUAGAUAUCAGGAGGAACACCGGUGGCGAAGGCGGCUAUCUGGACAGAAACUGACGCUGAGGCGCGAAAGCUAGGGGAGCAAACAGG